This 247-nucleotide ribosomal RNA is filed under the name uncultured bacterium. Its description in RNAcentral is "partial 16S ribosomal RNA". It matches the Rfam family "Bacterial small subunit ribosomal RNA", at positions 523 to 769 of the family's 1533-position model. The record is from RNAcentral.
AUACGUAGGUGGCAAGCGUUAUCCGGAAUUAUUGGGCGUAAAGCGCGCGCAGGCGGUUUCUUAAGUCUGAUGUGAAAGCCCACGGCUCAACCGUGGAGGGUCAUUGGAAACUGGGAAGCUUGAGUGCAGAAGAGGAGAGUGGAAUUCCAUGUGUAGCGGUGAAAUGCGUAGAGAUAUGGAGGAACACCAGUGGCGAAGGCGACUCUCUGGACUGUAACUGACGCUGAGGCUCGAAAGCGUGGGGAGC